RNAcentral lists this long non-coding RNA (345 nucleotides) under Phoenix dactylifera (date palm). RNAcentral describes it as "long non-coding RNA (PDAC_LNC002471)". Lineage: Eukaryota; Viridiplantae; Streptophyta; Magnoliopsida; Arecales; Arecaceae. The record is from RNAcentral.
UAAUAUCUUCUGAUGUCGGUGAGUGGAAAACGGAAUUUUUUCAGGUAAGAAGUCAUUUUCCUAACAAUUAAAAAAAAUGACCCCAAGGGGCAUGAUGUUGGUAGAAACAAAGAUGUAAAAGGAAAAAAAAGGGCAAAAAGUUGAUGCGUGUCAAAUUUAAAAAUGAGGCCGUUAGAUUUCACCUUCCUAUCUCGGCUUUCUUCAAUCCUCAAUAGCAAUGAGCGGACCGAGAUCUUGGUGAUUUCUAGACCAAUAAGUCCUUUUUGCUGGGGUCCAUGGACAGGUAUAGCUAUUAGAUCAACUGGCCGUGCAAAUGUAUGUGUUUUUCUUGUCCUUUUACAUUUG